CCUACGGGUGGCAGCAGUGGGGAAUAUUGGGCAAUGGAGGAAACUCUGACCCAGCAACGCCGCGUGAAUGAUGAAGGUAUUCGGAUUGUAAAGUUCUUUUAUAAGGGAAGAAGAAAGUGACGGUACCUUAGGAAUAAGCCUCGAACAACUACGUGCCAGCAGCCGCGGUAAGUCGUAGGCGGCGAGCGUUAGCCGGAAUGACUGGGCGAAAAGGGUGCGUAGGUGGUGUGGCAAGUUAGUAGCGUAACUCCAAGGCUCAACCUUGGAACUACUACGGAAACAGUGCGACUUGAGUGCAGGAGAGGCAAGUGGAAUUCCUAGUGUAGCGGUGGAAUGCGUAGAUAUUAGGAGGAACACCAGUGGCGAAGGCGGGUUGCUGGACUGUAACUGACGCUGAGGCACGAAAGCGUGGGGAGCAAACAGGAUUAGAUACCCGGGUAGUC
RNAcentral lists this ribosomal RNA (443 nucleotides) under uncultured bacterium. RNAcentral describes it as "partial 16S ribosomal RNA". It matches the Rfam family "Bacterial small subunit ribosomal RNA", at positions 338 to 795 of the family's 1533-position model. The record is from RNAcentral.